AGGUCACAAGAUUGCGCCAACCCUUACAUGGUCCUUAAAAAAAAAACCUUCUGACACUGCAGUAGUGAAAAUGAAGCGCACGAUGGGCGGAAGCUAGGAAGACAAACAUAAAGAUGAAGUGCUUAAUUCAAGGUCACACAAUGUCGGGGAUGGACCUCCAGAUUUCCUUACUGACCUGCAUUAUCUUGUGGAUACCUGAGUGAAUUCCACACCACCCAUUUUAUAGAUGAAACCACUGAGACAUGGAGCAAUUGACUGAGUAGUCACUGCCCCACCCCUGCCUGGAGCCUCACACAUGACUCGCCUCCUCUCAGUGACCACAGGUGAGACGUGGUCUUGUAACACAGUGGUUAAGAAUGUGACUUUGGAGCCAGCCUGCUAGGGGCUGAAUUCUGACUCAGCCAUUUACUAACUGUGUGACCUUAGUCUGUCUAGUGACUGGUGUUGUCAUAAGAAGAGAGGGACACAGAGGGAAGAUGGCCACAUGAAGAUGGAGGCAGAGAUUGCAGUUAUGCUGCUGCAAACUAAGGAAUGGCUCUGGCCCUCCAAGGAUUGCUGAUAACCACCAGAAACUAGAAGAGACAAGGAAGGAUUCUUCCCUAGAGCCUUCAGAGGGAGCAUGGCCCUACUGACACCUGGAUUUCAAACUUGUAGCUUCCUAAACUGCAAGAGAAUAAAUUUCUGUUGUUUUAAGCCA
RNAcentral lists this long non-coding RNA (697 nucleotides) under Homo sapiens (human). Its description in RNAcentral is "non-protein coding PCBP1-AS1:230". The record is from RNAcentral. Lineage: Eukaryota; Metazoa; Chordata; Mammalia; Primates; Hominidae.